UUUGGUCGGUUCCUGAACGCUUUGGAACGCCUGUGCGCUCUCCUAUCCUGUCCUCUUUCCAUGUGCAGCUCGCUGAGAUCUGGUGGCUGUAAUUUAAUAUUCCUAAGUGAAGCUUGCUUUGGGUUUAUGGUCUGAGGGCCAAAAGUUACAACCAGCCUGAAGAAAUAGGCUCUCUCGUGGAGCUGGAGUGCCCUCUGCUGCCCCAAAGAAGAAGUGCAGGUGCAGAGCGGCUCCUGCCGGAGCUGUCCCGCAGUGCAGUCACAAAGUAGAGAGGAACGGAGGACAACUGGCUGAACCAAGACUCCAAACAUGACCCAGGGGGAGUGUCCAGGCAUCCUUAGCCAAGCCACGUAAGCUGAGAUCCCAGAUAUUGUGGAGCAAAAAUGAAUCCUUUGACUGUUCCUUACUCAAAUUCCUGACUCACAAUUAUAAAUAUUAAAUGUUGUUUUAUGC
This 453-nucleotide long non-coding RNA is filed under the name Fukomys damarensis (Damara mole-rat). RNAcentral's name for it is "lncRNA (ENSFDAG00000024238.1)". Lineage: Eukaryota; Metazoa; Chordata; Mammalia; Rodentia; Bathyergidae. The record is from RNAcentral.